Malaclemys terrapin pileata is the source of this 1246-nucleotide long non-coding RNA. RefSeq lists it as uncharacterized. NCBI's taxonomy places the organism in Eukaryota, Metazoa, Chordata, Testudines, Emydidae. The transcript is spliced from 3 exons. The record is from RefSeq and is a predicted model, not a curated record.
UUGUUUUCUGACAGGUUCUGAAGCAUUUGAAAGGACUGAUAUGCUACUGUUCUCCUCAAACUUGGAGAACACAAGAUCAAAAGCUUUCAACACAAAGUAUUAACACAAAAGACAGAUGAAUGAGAUUCAAAUAAAAAUUGGGAAGCUGACUCGGUUACCAGGUUUGUAAGCUUUGGCCUGUGGACUCUAAUUGAGAUGAUAGAGACAAGCACCUACAAGAUCUCUAUCAAGCAUUCUUAAAACUACAAUACCCACCUGCUGAAGUGAAAAAACAGAUUGACAGAGCCAGACGAGUACCCAGAAGUCACCUCCUACAAGACAGGCCCAACAAAGAAAAUAACAGAACACCACUAGCUGUCACCUUCAGCCCCCAACUAAAACCUCUCCAGCGCAUCAUCAGAGAUCUACAACCUAUCCUGAAAGAUGAUCCUUUACUCUCACAGAUCUUGGGAGACAGACCUGUCCUCGCUUACAAACAACCCCCCAACCUAAAGCAAAUACUCACCAGCAACCACACAUCACUGAACAAAACCACUGACCCAGGAACCUAUCCUUGUAACAAAGCCCGAUGCCAACUCUGUCCACAUAUCUAAUCAAGUGACAUCAGCAUAGGACCUAAUCACAUCAGCCAUACCAUCAGGGGCUCGUUCACCUGCACAUCUACCAAUGUGAUAUAUGCCAUCAUGUGCCAGCAAUGCCCCUCUGUCAUGUACAUUGGCCAAACCGGACAGUCUCUACGCAAAAGAAUUAAUGGACACAAAUCUGACAUCAGGAAUCAUAAUACUCAAAAACCAGUGGGAGAACACUUUAACCUGUCUGGUCAUUCAAUGACAGACCUGCGGGUGGCUAUAUUACAACAGAAAAACUUCAAAAACAGACUCCAACGAGAGACUGCUGAGCUGGAAUUGAUAUGCAAACUAGACACAAUCAACUCAGGAUUGAAUAAGGACUGGGAAUGGCUGAGCCAUUACAAACAUUGAAUCUAUCUCCCCUUGUAAGUAUUCUCACACUUCUCAUCAAACUGUCUGUACUGGGCUAGCUUGAUUAUCGCUUCAAAAGUUUUUUUUCUCUUACUUAAUUGGCCUCUCAGAGUUGGUAAGACAACUCCCACCUGUUUAUGCUCUCUGUAUGUGUGUAUAUAUAUCUCCUCAAUAUUUAUUCCACUCUGUAUGCAUCCGAAGAAGUGGGCUGUAGUCCACGAAAGCUUAUGCUCUAAUAAAUUUGUUAGUCUCUAAGGUGCCACAAG